Molecule: long non-coding RNA, 10903 nt
Organism: Dromaius novaehollandiae (emu)
Lineage: Eukaryota; Metazoa; Chordata; Aves; Casuariiformes; Dromaiidae
Exons: 11
Source: RefSeq, a predicted model, not a curated record
CGGCCGGCGGCGCGAUCGGCACGCGCGCAUGCGCCGUUGCUGCGGGCGGGGGGGCGCUGCCGAGGAGCCGGCGGUGUGAGGGUGGGGUGGUGCUGAGGCGGGAAAGCGUCCUGCCGUUCCUGAGGACGUCUCAUCUUGCGGUGUCCCCUUGACUGCAUUACUUCAUUCCUGUGAGGAAGCAUUGAAUACCUGCCUGUUCUGGAUCACGCAUGUUCCUUACUCUUCCUGUGAAAGAGGAACAGUCAAAGAUGCAAAAUGCCAGCAACUACUGAAUAACCAGAAUGCUACUCUGGUGUUCCUGAAAGAAAUGGAGCUUUCCCAGAUAAAGCAUUCAGAAGGAGCAAUGGACCAAAUUGAGCAAGGUUAUCUCAUUAUCAGGACAAAACUGUCUUACAAGAAUGUGGAGAUUACUUCAAGAAAAAUAAUCAAAUGUAUACAAAACAUAAGAGCAAAUGUUCCUGUGAUUCUGAAAGGAUGCAGGGAUUCUAUCUGAAAGUUCACUACUAAAAUGAAGGACAUCUAGUAUUCAUGAACACAUCUAUAAUCAAUCCAUGGUGCAAAGAAGAGUGGGACAGCUUUGCCAGAGUAGGGUGCUGGUGUCAUGGACUUUAUAGAGAAAAGAUUUAUUUGGGGGAGGAAGAAAGACUCCUGGGUCAGACUCUCUCCCCACUGACACAAAUAUUCAAAGAACUGCUAGAGACCUCAUCAUUACAGUUCACUUCUCCAUACUCCUCGUGAAUAUUAAUCCUCAAUCCUUGGAAGCUAUUUUGGUACUGUAAAAACUAAUGCCACCUUUUCUUAAGCAGCAGAGGCAUAUCCCCCUAAAUUUUAACCUUAAAGCUUGGGGAAGCAGACACUUCACAUAAAUGUUCUCUCUGAUCUCCCAUGACUUUUCAGGCUGACAAAUCUUUUAUAUAGUCACAUACAUAUUCUUUUGGCAACACACGUAGAGCUGAAUCCUGCAAGGAGGCACCUCUUGGUGUGGUGCAGUCUGAGGCUUCAGUCUGAAGAACAUGGUAACAGAUACAGUGAAGUGAGACUGGCCAAGCAAAAUUUCAUGUUUUUAAGAUGGUAACUUUUAAAUACCACGCUCUUUGAAUUCCAAACUUUUUAGAUACUGUUUUAGGGUAGAAGCACUUCAGCGAGGUUCAAAAACCUGGGAAGGACAAAUGGAGUCUCUAUUUCUCAUUACUGCACUAAGGGGAAGUGCAGGGUCUGCAGACCUGCCGAGGCAGGAGGGAACGCCCGUCCUCCCCGCUCACCACAGGGGCAAGGAGGGAAAGCGGGCAGACACAGACACGCUGUCCCCUGGAGUAACAGGAGACAUUAAUAACGCAGAAGGAUGGGUGAAACAGGUGGAAGGAUGUAACAUCGGAGACUGCCAAUGCUGCUGGAAUGUGGUGCGGUGCAGGAACGGGACAGAAUGCAGAGGAGAAAGUCAAAAGCAUGUGGGCAUAUGGACAAACAAGAUGAUGUCUCUACAGUUUGCAUACAAGAAGAUCCAUGAAGGAUCUUCUUCUCUGAUGCAUGGGAACAGUAACCUGUUUAUUGAGGAAGAAUGGAAGUGAGAAGUAGCAUGCACAAGUGAAAAUGGCAGUCUCAUGAAUCAAUGGAGGUGUUUGGAUUGUUUUAUAAUAAGCCAGUGGUAGAAAAAAAGAAUUCUCAUAAGCAGUUUGAUUCUGUAAAGAAAGGGAUGAUUCAGUGGGAUUAGUUUAUCAAAUAAGAAUAUAGAUUUAUUGUUUUCUAAAAAUAUAGUCUUUGUUUCUUAUAAAUGCUACUGAGGUCCUUUCUCUUCCUAGAAUCUCUAAAGCAGCCAAUCUGCGUUUUACUGGAGUAAUGUCACCAGUUAGCCUCUGCUGUGAGCCUCUGCUCUGGUAGUUACUUUACAUUAGGCUCCAAUCCUGGAAUGCAUUUUUGAUGCAGACCCUUCAUAUGCUGGCUUGGAGAAAAGUUUGUGCACUGAGCUCAAGACUGAUGGGUUGCAUCCAAAUUUCAAGCAGUGGUAAUCAGAUAAAGAGGACACAGGAAAAAAUCCUACAAAUUCCUUUCAAUAUUUAUCUGAAACAAUUCUUUUUCUUUCUCCUCAAGUCUAUCAUCUGAUGGUAAAAAUAACAAUCACAAAAGCACAUAACAUGCCUGUUCUCAAAGUAAUCAGAAAACAGUAGGUCAAUAAUGGAACAUUUAGCAACUAUCACUCUGGGGCCUUGACACAUACCAGAUGAAAAGUGUUUGCCUCAGUCAUUUUUUGUAGAAGAAUGAGUGUCAUUGUGAUACAUCAUCAAAGGAAUCAUUGUCUCCUGCUUUCUGCUAACUCUUUUUCAUAAAUAUUCUGAAUUUACACCCUAUUCCUAACUUAAUAUGAACCAUUGCCAGGUUCAAAGAAUUCUCUUCUUCUCUGCAGACAGUAAAACAUUCUGUUUUUAGUCUGUAUUUUGCUUUAUAUACUCCUAAUAGUGGAACUAACAAUUUGCCAUUGAUUAUACAUAACUAUAAGAGGGUAAAAAUUGUUUUUAACUGUUUCUAAAUUCCAGUCCGAGAACUGAAAUAUAGCUAAAAACACUGGAACUAGUUAGAUCAGACAGCAAAAGUAUUUGAAAUUAUCCUUGGUAAACACUUAAACUGCACCUUCAAACUCAGAACAGUUUGCUUGAAUGCUCUUUGUAUUUUUCCUAAUCUCUUUGUACUCCACCUUGAUAGCUAAACUUUGUUAGGCUCAUUUUCAGUGUACUUUGAUCUUAUGAAUUUUGGUUUGUACCCUGGUUGAGUCAGCCCACGAUCUGAUUAUUUGUUUGCUUGAGGCUCUCUCUUGUCCAGAAUCUCAGCUGUCACUUGAACAGGUCAAAUGGGUAUUUGUUCUAUGCUGCUUAUUGUCUACCAGUAUCCCGAUGCAGGUACAGAAACUUAGUUCUGUGCAAUCCUUUUUCAUUUGGUUUGCAAUAGAGACAGGUUUGCUUUCUAGUUAAUUAUUUCUAAUCUAGCUGGACAACCUCGGGAAGAAAAAUAAGAAAGUCUCCUGAGAGUUCACUUAUUCUUGUCCACAUACAUAGAGAUAGCCUAAAUAUUUCACUCUGAAGAUAUAUAUUUGCAAAUACUGCAAUAAGCUGACACAUAGGUGUUUGUUGAUAGCUAUGAGGCAUCUUUCCUCCAUUGUCCUGGUAGAAAAGGUUCCAGCCAGUGACCAGCAAAGGAAUUUUUUGUAAAACCCAGCAGCUGGCAACACCAGCUCCCCAAAAGCACCUGUAGCUUGACAGGAGGCACUCACUGGUCCUGAAGUCCUCUAAUCACUUCUGCAGCAAAGAGUCCCUAGGAGUUGCUUCUAUAGGGCUGCCUUUCACCUGGACCCUAAAUACAGCAUCCAAAAUUUAUGAGCCUAACUCAAACCUAAUUACAACAUUAAAUGAGCUUAUAAGUAAAAAUUAAACAUUUGUUUUAGCAAAUUAUCCAUUCAGGUGUCUAAUUACAAGAUUAAAAACAAAGCAACUCCUGUGUCAAGUUUAAGAGUCAGAUUAAUAGUUACACUUUCUCAUGUACAGUACUCAAGUAAUGCCCUGGCCAUUAAAACAAGGACUUGAACUUCAUAGCAGUAUCUUAUUUUCUAAAUGGUUAUCCCCAAAUCUGGACCUCUUCUUUUGGCUUCAGAUCCAAAAGUAGAGUUUUUGUACUUCCUCCUCCCUCUCAAUGUCAGGAAGAAGCUUGCAAGGAUUAGCUCAAGGUUUGAUAUUCAAAGCAUUUGUUGAGAUAUUACCCAUGUCUCAUCUUCCUAAUAGAAAGUCUUUUGUAUUGCAGUUUUAGCAAGGUCGUCCUCCACAGAUAGCAUAGUACACAUUCUAAAAUGCUCUCUUGACAUUACGAUGUUUCACAUACCACACACCACAAAAACCAUUGCUUUACAAUAGCUCUGUUAAGCUCAUUUGCUUUCCAUUUUAUUAAUACAGUUAUCAGAGUUGGUAGUAGACCAAGCAGUCAUCUCCUCCUGUUUGCUGUCAAAUUUAGGAGUUUCCUGUGUAACAAAUACCUUUCCUUAAAGCAGAUACCAUCAAAACUGAACCCAGAUUAUACAGUCCUAACAUCAUAACACUCUAAUUUCCAUUGCCGUUUUCAUGCAUCCAAGGCACUCCUAGCUUUUUACACAUCCCAGGGAACAGUAUUCUGGAAAUUAUUUUCAAUACCUGCUGAGGUUUCUUUCUUAGAGGAUCUCACAAUAUCAGGUCCUGAAGAAGGUCAAAUUUAUGAAAUCCAUAAUAUUUCACAGGAAAAACAGAUUUAUUAAAUUAUUCUGCAUCCAAUCACUGAAUUCUGGUGUUAUGCUUGAAUACUGUUUCUCACCAGCCUUCAUAUUUUAAACAGAAAAACCUUAAUACUAUCACGAAGCUUCAGUCUGUUGUCCACAUCCUCUUCCAGAUCACUAAUAUACAUGGAAGUAACACUACUGAGCCUUGAAGGGUCCCACUCUGUAUUCAGAGUGGAACUUGAAAGAUUAGAAAGGUUUGAUUUUUCCUUCCUAGCUGUAUGUACUUGACUCUGUAAGAUUAUGCUUUGUUUAUCCAAUUGUUGGCCUACCUUUAGAAUCAGUUUUCCUUGAAAUGAGGCUCAGUUUAAUUCUUAGGAUGUCCCUCAGACCUUCUAGAGCAAAUUUACUAUCUUUAGAAAAAGUGUUUCCAAGCGAUCUUACAUAUUUUUGGCAGUAUCUGUGCUGUUUCAUAGUCUCCUUCAGAAGUCUCUAAUGAAUACAGCGAAUCAAAAUUUAGAGAAAUAUUCCAGACAAGCGUAGGAAUUAUUCCCAAUGGUAUAUUUAGCAUUUUUGUUCUAGAUUCAACAGCUUGAAGCAGAGACACUUUCUCCAUUUCCCCUUGAAAAUCAUUUCAUAGCCUAGCAGCUCCGUUAAAAUAUAUUUUAGAUUUUUAUCUACAUACAAUUUCCUUAAUUUCAUCUGAACAUUUCUAGUUGUGUUUCCUUGCACCAUGGUGAAUAAUCAGUCUCCAACUCCCAUGGGAAUUAUAUUGUCACUUAGCGACUAUUUUGUCUACCUUCUACAUUUGUAGACUGAUUUAUUUUUUCUUUACAAGUCUCUUUGACCCUGCAAUGGUAUUUUUGCUGAUGUUCUUGAACAUCUCGCUAAUUGUAUCCCUUCUACAGACCUUUGCUGAAAUGUCUUCCAGCUCUUGUCUCAUCAGGUUCGAUACAGACCACCUCAUGAUUUAAAUUUCUGGGUACUGCACUGUUCUUUGGUGUUGACAAUGUCUCAAGUAUUGCGUUUCAAAUUCAGACACAAUUUUCCGUCCACUGCCACCUCUUUCAGCAUUCUUAAUUGUUCUUUCAGUUAAGCUUCUUUGUUUUGGCUUAUCUUUCUCCUAACGUAUUCACUUAUAUAUAAUCAGGUCUUAGUAAUUUACUACAGCUAUGCUUCUCCAUUUGUCUCCAUAACAGAUUCCUUAGCCAAUCUGUAUUAAAAACACAAUUUAGAUUUUGCAUAGUGUAAGUCUGAUCCAAAAGAAAUCAUAUUUAGUUUAGCCUCUGUAUGGUGAUGUUUUUUAGUUCUCUACAGGUGUUUUUCCUUUUCCUUCAAACACUGUGUGUUGAAAAUGUAAACAGUUAAUAAAAAAAAUCAGAAUAGAAAACAAAGUGUAAGUAAUGGACACCACUGCGACAUAGCACAUCACCUUCCCCAUCUAAAAUUAAACCUGCUAUCAAAGGGUAAACCCUUAAUGAAUGAAAACUGUGAUAGGCCCUAUUGAAGAUGAUACCUCACAAUAAUAGCUGAGAAUCUGUCCCCUCAUUACUACUACCGUCCACGUACAACUGUCCACUAUAGGACAUAAGGGUUUCCUCUGAUAAUCCAAUGAAUUCUACAUAUGAAACCAUGCAGAAUAUGUAAUAGAUAUCCACAGUACCUACUGAAAAGCAGGGUGGGGUACUUUGGCUAUUCAAACCUGGUCAUCACAUUUUCAACUCUACGCCUCCAGCUCUGAGAUCUGAGCCUUUGAAUUGCUUUAUUUUGUCUCUUUCACGUUUAUCAUAUAAUAAUCUUUUUCCUCUUUUUAUUCCUUACUGGUUUUAAAAAACUGCACAAACAUUUUGAACACUGUAGUAUUAAAAAAAAUGAGUGGAUUACGUUUCAUCUGUAGACAGAAGUACAAUCUAAACCAAGACUGGAGUUUCUGAAAGGACCUGCUACCUGGAACUUCCUCCUCACCUCCUCCUCAUCUUCCAAAGGUUGCUGAAAACUUACACGGCCAGUACAACAGUUUUUUUCUCAUGAUUUAUGUGCUAUAUUUUGCGUUAGCUCUGCUAGAGGGAAUAGCUGUUUUUCCUGGGCACCAGGCCCAGAUUAUAUUUAAUUUUGUCUACAGAUUGUACAGUUUCCCAGAUACUAUACCAGAGAUGAGCAUUUUAUAAGUUAAUAAAACAAUAAAUAAAACAAAAUCUGUUCUUAUGCCUACAAGUAAUAACUAGAACCUUAAAAGCCUUGCCCCUUUUUAUAGUGGUUUCUCUUUGUUACAGCUACUGACUAAAAAAUAUAUUAAAUUAUUUUAAAAUGCUAAAAAAGUAAAUAAUUUAUAGGAUUCCCACAGAAACAGUUCAAAGUUAACCUUAAACUUCUUAAACAAAUAGAUUUAAAGUUCCACUAUUGAAUGCACUAUUAGUGACAUUAUGAAGGAAUCAGUUUGGAUUCCAGUACUAUAUUUUACAUAAUUAUUAUACUUUUAGAAUUAAAAGAGGAAGAAAAAACUUACUGUGUAUUCUGAUUCCCAGUUGUCCAUUUGUAAAAACAGAAUGAGGGAAAAGAAAAAAAAAAAAAGAAAUGUGAAACAAAACAAUGAUGCAAGAUCCUUACAGUAAACACACAAUAAUAAUCAGAAUAUUUGUGUCAUAAUCUGCUGAUUUACAUUUAACUAAAGUCUAUGGGACAAUAAAGGGUAUAAGUCACCACAGAAUCUAAGCACCUGAUGUCUUCUUUGCAAGGAAGAAACUGCAUGGGAAAAAGACUCCAGUCUUUACCUAGUUGCAUUCUUUGUCUAUAAUCUUUAUUUUCUGAUAGCAAUCAAGAUGAGAAGGAAAGAUAUAUGCAGUUCAACAGGAGUUGUAAAAAUUCCUUAAUAUCUGUGGCUCAGUAUGUUACUUGACGCUUUUGAAGAUAAGCUUAACUACCCAAAAAGGAAAAGUCUUCAUUUUCAUUUUCUUUUCAUUUCUGCUUUAUCCCUUACCUGUGAUUGUAUAAGGAUAGUAAUUCCAAGCCUUCUCUGUAACAUAAAAUAUUUUGGGAACAACUGCUCUAGCCCAGCUAGGUAGCUUGCUGAAAAUAAAAAGAAAAUAUAAAAUUAGAAUUUGUUUUGACUUAUGAGAACUGUAGAAAAAAAGACACUUGCCAAACAUGCUCACAGUUGGACAAGCGUUUCACAGGACGCAGCAAUACCAAGACUCCACAACAGUAUCGUUAUCUCACGAAUACACAUUCUGUCUCUGUUUCCUCGACGAGUAUAUAUGAAACCAAGCAUGCUUCUUCCCCUCUCAAAGUGAUCAAUAGGUUGCCAGCGCGGUGACCUCUGAUCAGAUGCAAGCUGCCGUUUCAAUGCCGGUGUCAAGGAUUUGUGGAGUCCCACCUCUGGCGAUGAGGAGCUCAGCAGGUGAAAGGAGGCAAGGUGUCCCCCCGGGCGGGCGCUCCUGGCCACAGGGCGGCACUCUCCACCAAGAGGUCCUCUCCACCAAGAGCUCCUGACUCCCCACUCCAUCCCAGGCCGCUUUCCACUCUGAUUCCAUUAUUUCUCCCUAGGGAAUUCCUCCCUUGCUGGCACACCAACUUUUAUGUUCAACUAACCCAAAACCUCAGUAGGUAGUUUUUCCCAUGCUACCAACACCAUAUCUUGAUUAUGAAGCUUUUAUUUCAAAAUUAACACAUUUCUGAAAACACCUCUGUGAGGCUGUCAGGUAGUAUUAGUCCCACUUUGCUGAUGCUGGAAAAGUAAAUCACAGAAGCAGAGAGAAUUAACGGUACUGAUGUCGUAACUCAGAGCGCAGUGCAGUGGUACAACAGCAGUAGAUUAAGAACAAAAAGACAUGGAGGUGGACACAGCCCAUGGUAAGAUCAUUAAAGGGUAAUUAAAGACUACUGUGGAAGGCUGUGAGCGUUUUUUUACCAUGAAUCUUGGGUCUCUCAUUUCCAGAACUCUGGUUUCAUUGGAAUCAAAGAAGUGAGAAACAUGCAUUUUAAAAUGGUGUAUUUGCAUAAGCUUACAAUCUUUCAACCCUUUCCUCUGACAUCAGUUAUAAUCACUUGAGCUGCCAGCAAUAAAGACAUAGGACUAGUCACUCAAAUGAAGGCAGAGAUUUGGAGACCAGGAAUAUCACUGAACUUCAGGGACCCCAUUAAAAUCAUGUUAGUCAGGCCAAGUGUAGCAGAUCACCCAGCCUAAGGCAGGAUCCUUACUGAAUUGAAGUAGAUACUUUCAAACUUCAAUUUUCCAAGUGUAAAUAUUUGAAACAGUUCUACUUAGAUAGCUGCAUAUGCAGAAAGUAAAAUAACUCUCCAAAAUUUCUGGGGAAAAUAGAGUUUGGAUCAUUAAGGUUUAUUUAACCAUGAUCUAGCUACGUAUAAAUAUUGUAUUUGUCCAGAGGCAAAAUGCAAACAUUAGCACAUUAUCAAAAAAUUCAAGCUCAAGUGCGUUGACUUUUGCUCUUUGAUGGCACUGCUCAAAGCUGGAUUCUUUUCUUUACACAAACCUUUCUUGUGUACAGUCUCUUAAGCAACAUUCAAACUUCACUGUAUCAGAUUUUUUGUUUAUUUUGUCAGUCCUGUGUCUCUUUAUGACCCUCUCUCUGUUCCUUCCUUUAUCCCUGCUAGACUUGACGCUCUCUGAUGCCUAUAUAGUAAGUACCCACGGAUGCAGACUUUCAACUUCUGAGACCCGCACUCCAGCAAGAGAGAAGAGGCAACGAAGUUCAGUCUUUCAGCCCAAAAGGAGGAAGUGUUUCUCAAAGGCAUUCCAGCUGAACCCACAGUGACACUCCUUCAGCAUUUACGGCAGACUGGUGUGAGAAGGUGUCCUAUGGGUGGCUGCAGAAACAAAGCGACCUCCUGAAAAGUAUGUGGCACAACUUGAAAGCCUGGCUGCUUGCACAUCAUAUAAAAAUUGCAGUAGAAUAAAAAUGGGGUAUUUGGGCCAAGAUCAGCUGUGCAAGCAGAGAAGGAUGACUGUCCCUGACACUUCAAAGCCAAGACUGCUAACAGUUUCUUUAUCUUUCUAUCCCUGAAUUUAAUCACAAGAAAGUUAGUUAUUUUAGACCCACGACUGGAAAAUAAAAAUAAGGAAUAAGGGAAAUCAAGGCUUAUUAAUGCAGGAAAGAAAGACGGAGGCAAAAAUGUACACUCUAAUACCUAAUACAUAGGCCGCUUUCCACAGUGGGGCUUGGGGUAGAUUUGGCAAAGUCUUGAGGAGCUGCUGGUUCUCCAUGAGAUAUGCAUCAUCCAAGCCCUCCUUGCCUUAUUGAACUUGAUGUUGUUCUGGGGUCCUUUCAUCCAGACACCAUGCAGUGUUCUAUAUCACUUGUGGAAAGGGCUGAGGUUAUCCAGCUCAACACCGCAUCAGGAGAGCUAGACAUAACUCAUAUUUUCCAUUGUUGCAUUUCCCAGAGAGUACUUUUAGUUGGACUUCCGUAGCUCUGUAGCACGAGGGCAAUUUAUAGCAGGAAGUGCACUAACGCUUUAUCUCUGAAUUCAUUCUGUUCGGCUUGUAGGAACUGGAACAUUUUUUUAAAGUUGAGGAUUCUGAAAAUGUCUAUUUAAAUAGCAGAGUUUCCUACUGUGACCCAAAUGGUCUUUGCUGCAGAAACAAGGAGUAAUAUACAGCUAUAUGUAUCAGUACAAAUAAUGCACAUCUGCAGAUGCAUUACACCAGUGGUAACACACAGAUUAGUAUGUACUUGAGAUAAGCUCCUAUGCAGUCGUACAGGGGGUGGUUUUAUUUGAAUAGCAUAAACUCAAGAUUUAUGAAGGCUCUCGUAAAAGACUCUUAUGAGAAGGCUCUUAUGAAGGGACUGAGUGUGAGUCAGGCAAAGAGGUGUUAUAAGGAGGUAAGUUUUAUCUCUAAAAUGUCAUUGCAUGGAUCAAUCCUGACUCCUUUGAAAUCAGGGGUUACACUACCAGUCCUAAAACAAUCACACCAUCCCUCUAACAGCAGAAAAAAAAGCAUUAUAUUCUCUCAAUUAAAAAAAAAAUUAUAAAUACAAACUUAAGUUUCUGCUGAAACAUAGCAUAAUGGAUAGAUAUAAGGGUUUCUAGUCUCAUAAUACAGACCUGAAAUAAACUGAAAAUCAAAACUUUCCAAAAUACUGAAAAAAACAAUUUUUAACUUUAAAUACUUUUGCAAUGACCUGAUAGAGAAAAAACAGUGAGCUGUAUGCAGUUUAUUUGUAUGCAGUUGCAUACAAAUUAUUACUUCUUAUUUAAUAAAAUAUUUCUUUGUCAUAAACAGGUUAUGCUUAGAUGUCAUAAGGGUGUGCAGUAAGGAGAAAACACACAGACUGUCCUUGAAUGAUCAGUGUAAUGGCCACACAUAAUUGUAUUUGCUCUCUUAGGACAUGGAGGGUGUCAAAGAGUGCAAACAAGAAACAGAGCUACAUAUCUUUACACCUAGUUACCAAAUAGGACUGGCACAGAAGGAAGGGUGAAAUGGAAAAUAUGUAUCUGCUAGGGAGCUUUGGCGCACAAAGAGAGGAGGGUUGCGCAUCAAAGAUGAGGAGUUUAGUUUUGUCUGACUACUCCUCAGUCCUUAAUCCCUCUCAUUUAUUAAUUUUUUUUCAUUUUUUUCCUGAAAGAACAAAUAUAUUUUUUGCAGACAUUACUAAUUCAUUUGUCACUCACUAAAGAAGAAUAAAUUAAAUCAGUCUUUACAAGAGCUGUCAUUUC